This 75-nucleotide transfer RNA is filed under the name Weissella confusa. Its description in RNAcentral is "tRNA-Asp". It matches the Rfam family "tRNA". From Rfam's summary of the family: Transfer RNA (tRNA) molecules are approximately 80 nucleotides in length. Their secondary structure includes four short double-helical elements and three loops (D, anti-codon, and T loops). The record is from RNAcentral. Lineage: Bacteria; Bacillati; Bacillota; Bacilli; Lactobacillales; Lactobacillaceae.
GGUCGCAUGGUCUAGUUGGUUUAGGACGUUCGCCUGUCACGCGAAAGAUCACGGGUUCGAAUCCCGUUGUGACCG